Molecule: ribosomal RNA, 981 nt
Filed under: Triticum aestivum (bread wheat)
Lineage: Eukaryota; Viridiplantae; Streptophyta; Magnoliopsida; Poales; Poaceae
Description: partial small subunit ribosomal RNA
Source: RNAcentral
AUGGAACAAGAUCAGGUUAAAUUAGCAGCACUAAUCGCGGAGCUAGAGGAGCCAGUGGGUCUCUGUGACUUGCCCGCAGUUGACCCUCCUAAUAGUAAGAGAAAGAAGGGGAGGGCAAUAAAGAAUUUUUCUGAGUGGAUAGAGAAAGAGCCUCCUGUGAAUUGGUCUUUGCUGCAUGACAUCCAUGGAGCUAGGUAUGGCCACAUGACAACCAAUCUUGCAGAGGUGUAUAACUUUGUACUUAGAGGGAAUAGAGCAUUGCCACUCACAGCUAUUGUGGAGGUCGUAUUCCAUGGCACUUUGAUAUAUUUCAUAGAAAGGCACGAGUUAGCAAGGAAGCAUAUUGCAGAUAAUCAGAACACACCUUAUUGUAGCCGUGUCAUUGAGUACAUGGCAAAGAAGAUAGAGAAAGCAAAGAAGCACACUGUGACACUCAUAGGUAAUCAGGAAAGGAGGUAUGAGGUUCAGCUUCCUACCGAUGGUUUUGGUUCUGCAAAUGAGGUGAAGACACACGAGGUAAAAAUUGGAACAGAAUUUUAUCCAACGUGUGAUUGCACAUGCAGCAAACCGAAGUUGUUGGACCUACCUUGCUCACAUGUGUUGGCUGCCUGUGGCCAGAUUGAGUUGGACGCUAUCUCCUUCAUGUACCCAUACUAUUUAAAAGACGCAGUACUCAACACAUGGACAGGUGAGAUGACAGGGUUUAGAGUCGUCUGCAAUUUCAACAAGGUAAACGACGGUGAGAGAGUAAUCCCAGAUGCAGAACUUCACCGAACAAGUAGGGGCAGACGAAAGGGCCGUCGCAUCCGAAACGAUAUGGACCAAUCUGAAGCUGGUGGAGCAACCAGAUAAUGUUUGUUAUGCGCGGCUUAUGGGCAUAGGAUGAAAUAUUGUCGCGACUUGAACAAAGAUGGUGCUUCCACAUCAACGACUGCGACAACAGGAGCAAGAGGCGGACGUGGUCGUGGCAGUCGAGCCUGA